This 119-nucleotide ribosomal RNA is filed under the name Neodiprion lecontei (redheaded pine sawfly). The record is from RNAcentral. Lineage: Eukaryota; Metazoa; Arthropoda; Insecta; Hymenoptera; Diprionidae.
GGCAACGGCCAUACCACGUUGAAAGCACCGGUUCUCGUCCGAUCACCGAAGUUAAGCACCGUUGGGCGCGGUCAGUACUUGGAUGGGUGACCACUUGGGAACACCGCGUGCCGUUGGCA